Molecule: unclassified non-coding RNA, 304 nt
Filed under: plant metagenome
Description: partial contains 5.8S ribosomal RNA, internal transcribed spacer 2, and large subunit ribosomal RNA
Rfam family: 5.8S ribosomal RNA (bases 1-105)
Source: RNAcentral
GAAAUGCGAUAAGUAAUGUGAAUUGCAGAAUUCAGUGAAUCAUCGAAUCUUUGAACGCACAUUGCGCCCGCCAGUAUUCUGGCGGGCAUGCCUGUUCGAGCGUCAUUUCAACCAUCAAGCCCCCGGCUUGUGUUGGGGACCUGCGGCUACCCGCAGGCCCUGAAAACCAGUGGCGGGCUCGCUGUCACACCGAGCGUAGUAGCAUACAUCUCGCUCAGGGCGUGCUGCGGGUUCCGGCCGUUAAAAGCCUUUUUUUACCCAAGGUUGACCUCGGAUCAGGUAGGAAGACCCGCUGAACUUAAGC